CAGCCCACUGCCCUCAGGACUUCUUCAUAGCUGCUCACCCUGUGCAGCAGUCAGUCCCAGUCAGCACCCAGCAUGGACAUGAGGACCCCUGCCCAGCUCCUGGGGCUCCUGCUGCUCUGGCUCCCAGGAGCCUGGUGUGACAUCCAGAUGACCCAGUCUCCUUUGUCACUGUCUGUGUCUCUAGGAGACACAGCCACCAUCACCUGCAGGGCCAGUGGGAACACUGGGUACAAUUUAGCCUGGUACCAGCAACAACCAGGGAAAUCCCCCAAACUCCUGAUCCGUAAUGCAGAUGUAUUGCAAUCUGGAGUUCCAUCGAGGUUCAGUGGCAGUGGAUCUGGGACACAGUUCACUCUCACCAUCAGCAGCCUGCAGCCUGAAGAUCUUGCCACUUAUUACUGUCAACAGUAUCUCAGUUUACCUCCCACACUGAAACAUAUCAUAACAAAAACUCCCAGGGCAGCAGAAGUGAGAGGCUGGGCUGCUGCAGCUGCUCCUUCUGCUGCCUCUGUCUUCUCAGGAUGUUCUCAGCCAUGGCCAGUUUACAUGUGA
Molecule: non-coding RNA, 552 nt
Organism: Perognathus longimembris pacificus (Pacific pocket mouse)
Lineage: Eukaryota; Metazoa; Chordata; Mammalia; Rodentia; Heteromyidae
Source: the annotation of a RefSeq genome assembly